AUUGAACGCUGGCGGCAGGCCUAACACAUGCAAGUCGAACGGUAACAGGAAGAAGCUUGCUUCUUUGCUGACGAGUGGCGGACGGGUGAGUAAUGUCUGGGAAACUGCCUGAUGGAGGGGGAUAACUACUGGAAACGGUAGCUAAUACCGCAUAACGUCGCAAGACCAAAGAGGGGGACCUUCGGGCCUCUUGCCAUCGGAUGUGCCCUGAUGGGAUUAGCUAGUAGGUGGGGUAACGGCUCACCUAGGCGACGAUCCCUAGCUGGUCUGAGAGGAUGACCAGCCACACUGGAACUGAGACACGGUCCAGACUCCUACGGGAGGCAGCAGUGGGGAAUAUUGCACAAUGGGCGCAAGCCUGAUGCAGCCAUGCCGCGUGUAUGAAGAAGGCCUUCGGGUUGUAAAGUACUUUCAGCGGGGAGGAAGGGAGUAAAGUUAAUACCUUUGCUCAUUGACGUUACCCGCAGAAGAAGCACCGGCUAACUCCGUG
This 490-nucleotide ribosomal RNA is filed under the name uncultured bacterium. RNAcentral describes it as "partial 16S ribosomal RNA". It matches the Rfam family "Bacterial small subunit ribosomal RNA", at positions 30 to 507 of the family's 1533-position model. The record is from RNAcentral.